This 319-nucleotide ribosomal RNA is filed under the name Salmonella enterica subsp. enterica serovar Infantis. RNAcentral describes it as "partial 23S ribosomal RNA". The record is from RNAcentral. Lineage: Bacteria; Pseudomonadati; Pseudomonadota; Gammaproteobacteria; Enterobacterales; Enterobacteriaceae.
AGACAGUUCGGUCCCUAUCUGCCGUGGGCGCUGGAGAACUGAGGGGGGCUGCUCCUAGUACGAGAGGACCGGAGUGGACGCAUCACUGGUGUUCGGGUUGUCAUGCCAAUGGCACUGCCCGGUAGCUAAAUGCGGAAGAGAUAAGUGCUGAAAGCAUCUAAGCACGAAACUUGCCCCGAGAUGAGUUCUCCCUGAGACUUWAAGUCUCCUGAAGGAACGUUGAAGACGACGACGUUGAUAGGCCGGGUGUGUAAGCGCAGCGAUGCGUUGAGCUAACCGGUACUAAUGAACCGUGAGGCUUAACCUUACAACGCCGAAG